UGAGAGGGUGAUCGGCCACACUGGGACUGAGACACGGCCCAGACUCCUACGGGAGGCAGCAGUAGGGAAUCUUCCGCAAUGGACGAAAGUCUGACGGAGCAACGCCGCGUGAGUGAUGAAGGUUUUCGGAUCGUAAAGCUCUGUUGUUAGGGAAGAACAAGUGCGAGAGUAACUGCUCGCACCUUGACGGUACCUAACCAGAAAGCCACGGCUAACUACGUGCCAGCAGCCGCGGUAAUACGUAGGUGGCAAGCGUUGUCCGGAAUUAUUGGGCGUAAAGGGCUCGCAGGCGGUUUCUUAAGUCUGAUGUGAAAGCCCCCGGCUCAACCGGGGAGGGUCAUUGGAAACUGGGAAACUUGAGUGCAGAAGAGGAGAGUGGAAUUCCACGUGUAGCGGUGAAAUGCGUAGAGAUGUGGAGGAACACCAGUGGCGAAGGCGACUCUCUGGUCUGUAACUGACGCUGAGGAGCGAAAGCGUGGGGAGCGAACAGGAUUAGAUACCCUGGUAGUCCACGCCGUAAACGAUGAGUGCUAAGUGUUAGGGGGUU
This 547-nucleotide ribosomal RNA is filed under the name Bacillus pumilus. RNAcentral describes it as "bacterial SSU rRNA". It matches the Rfam family "Bacterial small subunit ribosomal RNA", at positions 293 to 832 of the family's 1533-position model. The record is from RNAcentral. Lineage: Bacteria; Bacillati; Bacillota; Bacilli; Caryophanales; Bacillaceae.